This 497-nucleotide ribosomal RNA is filed under the name uncultured bacterium. RNAcentral describes it as "partial 16S ribosomal RNA". It matches the Rfam family "Bacterial small subunit ribosomal RNA", at positions 28 to 507 of the family's 1533-position model. The record is from RNAcentral.
GAUGAACGCUGGCGGCGUGCCUAAUACAUGCAAGUCGAGCGAACAGACGAGGAGCUUGCUCCUCUGACGUUAGCGGCGGACGGGUGAGUAACACGUGGAUAACCUACCUAUAAGACUGGGAUAACUUCGGGAAACCGGAGCUAAUACCGCAUAAUAUAUUGAACCGCAUGGUUCAAUAGUGAAAGACGGUUUUGCUGUCACUUAUAGAUGGAUCCGCGCCGCAUUAGCUAGUUGGUAAGGUAACGGCUUACCAAGGCAACGAUGCGUAGCCGACCUGAGAGGGUGAUCGGCCACACUGGAACUGAGACACGGUCCAGACUCCUACGGGAGGCAGCAGUAGGGAAUCUUCCGCAAUGGGCGCAAGCCUGACGGAGCAACGCCGCGUGAGUGAUGAAGGCCUUCGGGUCGUAAAACUCUGUUAUUAGGGAAGAACAAAUGUGUAAGUAACUACGCACGUCUUGACGGUACCUAAUCAGAAAGCCACGGCUAACUACGUG